This 253-nucleotide ribosomal RNA is filed under the name uncultured bacterium. RNAcentral's name for it is "partial 16S ribosomal RNA". It matches the Rfam family "Bacterial small subunit ribosomal RNA", at positions 524 to 776 of the family's 1533-position model. The record is from RNAcentral.
UACGGAGGGUGCAAGCGUUGUCCGGAUUUAUUGGGUUUAAAGGGUGCGUAGGUGGGGUGUCAAGUCUGGUUUGAAAGUUAGCUGCUCAACAGUUAGACGUGGCUGGAAACUGGGAUUCUGGAAUGGGGUGGCGGCGGCCGGAACUGGUGGUGUAGCGGUGAAAUGCAUAGAUAUGAGGCAGAACACCGAUUGCGAAGGCAGGCAGCUACGACCUGAUUGACACUGAGGCACGAGAGCAUGGGUAGCGAACAGG